UAAAACUUUGAAAUUGCCAUAAAUGUUACAUCCAUUAACCAUUUAGGCCAAACUAAGAAAUCACAUAACAUAAAUUUACAUCCAUUAGGCGUUAGCCAUUGAAGCCUAAAUAAAAAGUCAAAAGUUUUACAUCCAUUAGCAUUUCAAACGUUUCUUCAAAGUUCAAAAGUUAAGGUUUAACACAUUCUAAAAUCCAAAGUUCCAAAGAUUACAUAAAAAUUAAUUAUCAUAAGAAUUCAUAAAGGGCCUAAUUGGUUUCACCAUCACUUCCAACAUUGUUGUCUCUUGUCUCUCCUACCAAAACUGUAUCAGAUGAUGAUGAUGAUGCCAUUUCAUCAUCAUCAGAAUCAUCCCUUUCUGAUACAUAUCAUUCUUAUUCGUCAGUCUGUUAUGACUCUUCUAGCUUUGGCUUUUUUUCUUUCGUCCCUCACUCUCUGUAGUGUUUUGUUCCCCUUAGACCCCUUUCUUUGAUGUUUGAUACCCCUUCCUUUGAGAUUGAGAAGUUGUGGUCCCAACGGGGUCCCACUGGGUUCUCAUAGCUUGCCUCACUUUAUUCUAUGUCAAGUCCUGUCUAGUGUGUACUGUAUCAUCAUCAUCAGACUCGAUCAAGCCACUCAAUUGUAUCAUCCAACUCUUCAGCAAAAUAGGAUCAUUGGAUCCAAUUUUUUAUUGUGUCGAAUGAAUACAAGAUCAUUUAAUCUCUUUGCUCAAGUCUAUUUCUCUUUGUGGUCUCAGUUUCAUAAAUCAUAAUCCUUUAGCAUAUUACGAUUUAAAUAAAAUUAUCAACUCAAAGAGUUAAAAAUUAGGUUAGAAUGAGAAAUUACCGCUUCGAAAGUACUAAAAUUGCCUCACAUUCGAUUCGAUUUGUAUAUAGCCGUUAGUUGCACGUACUUAGUACUUGCCCCAUGAUUGGUCCACCAUGUAUCUACAUGACAAAUAAAUCAUAAAAUAAAUUUGUCUUAAAAAAGAAGCCAAAUUUAACUUACCAGACUUGACAGUUUUGCUUUGUUUUAGGGCAAGAUUAGUGCCAAGUGACGCUAUUGCCAUUCUGUACUUCUCGAGAUCUAUCGACACCUUGUUUUGCUAUAUUACACCGGGAAUGAGUUUGACUAAGCAUUAUUUAUUGCAUCCAUAAGAGAACCUUGAGCAGGGAAUGAGUUUGACUAAGCAUUAUUUAUUGCAUCCAUAAGAGAACCUUGAGCAGUCUAUGGAUUAUCAUAAAAUAUAAGUAGGGUACAAAUGGUAGCUUUCCAAGUGUGGGGC
Molecule: long non-coding RNA, 1263 nt
Filed under: Amborella trichopoda
Lineage: Eukaryota; Viridiplantae; Streptophyta; Magnoliopsida; Amborellales; Amborellaceae
Description: long non-coding RNA (ATRI_LNC002936)
Source: RNAcentral